GCUGGGCAUGGUGGCACAUGCCUGUAAUCCCAUCAACUCAAGAGGCUGAGACAGGAGGAUUGGAAGGUUGAGACUAGCCUCAGCAACUUAAUGAGCAAUUUAGCAAGACCCUGUCUCAA
RNAcentral lists this small RNA (119 nucleotides) under Marmota monax (woodchuck). The record is from RNAcentral. Lineage: Eukaryota; Metazoa; Chordata; Mammalia; Rodentia; Sciuridae.